UCUGGCUCAGGAUGAACGCUAGCUACAGGCUUAACACAUGCAAGUCAGGGGCAGCAUGGGGUAGCAAUACUCAGAUGGCGACCGGCGCACGGGUGAGUAACACGUAUCCAACCUGCCGCUUACUCGGGGAUAGCCUUUCGAAAGAAAGAUUAAUACCCGAUGGUAUAAAGAGUUCGCAUGUUCUCUUUAUUAAAGAAUUUCGGUAAGCGAUGGGGAUGCGUUCCAUUAGAUAGUUGGCGGGGUAACGGCCCACCAAGUCUACGAUGGAUAGGGGUCUGAGAGGAAGGUCCCCCACAUUGGAACUGAGACACGGUCCAAACUCCUACGGGAGGCAGCAGUGAGGAAUAUUGGUCAAUGGACGAGAGUCUGAACCAGCCAAGUCGCGUGCAGGAAGAAUGUCCUUAAUGGAUUGUAAACUGCUUUUGCAGGGGAAUAAAGUGCAUCACGUGUGAUGUUUUGUAUGUACUCUGCGAAUAAGGAUCGGCUAACUCCGUGCCAGCCGCAGC
This 506-nucleotide ribosomal RNA is filed under the name uncultured bacterium. Its description in RNAcentral is "bacterial SSU rRNA". It matches the Rfam family "Bacterial small subunit ribosomal RNA", at positions 18 to 518 of the family's 1533-position model. The record is from RNAcentral.